UACGUAGGUGGCAAGCGUUGUCCGGAUUUAUUGGGUUUAAAGGGUGCGUAGGCGGCUAACUAAGUCAGUGGUGAAAUACUCCAGCUUAACUGGAGGGGUGCCAUUGAUACUGGAUAGCUUGAGUACAGAUGAGGUAGGCGGAAUUGACGGUGUAGCGGUGAAAUGCAUAGAUAUCGUCAAGAACUCCGAUAGCGAAGGCAGCUUACUAAGCUGUAACUGACGCUGAGGCACGAAAGUGUGGGGAUCAAACAGG
RNAcentral lists this ribosomal RNA (253 nucleotides) under uncultured bacterium. RNAcentral describes it as "partial 16S ribosomal RNA". It matches the Rfam family "Bacterial small subunit ribosomal RNA", at positions 524 to 776 of the family's 1533-position model. The record is from RNAcentral.